CCUUUGAAAUAUCCCAGCUGAGGCCAUUCUAGGUCUAGCCAACCCCCAACAUGUCAGAGUCCAGCCUAAAUCAGCACAGCCACAUUACCUGCCACCGACCAUGAAUGCAGGCAUGAGCAAAGAGGACAUCGUAUGAGCCACCCGGAAAACUCAUAGACUCAUGAGCAAUAAUAAACAUUUUAAGCCACUGAGUUUUAGGGUGAUGCGUUAUGAAGCAAUAGCUAACUGCUAUACCGAUUGAAUAUUGCCUUAAAAAGGAGAGGGUGACCAACUGUCUUGAAUGCUGCUUAGUGUUCAAGUAAAAUAGGACAGAGAUGUGACUGUUAGAUUUACAUAUGUGGAGGAGGAGUUUGAGGAGAGAAAGUGUGGUGAGAAAGCUAGAGAUAGCAGUUAUAGAUAACUACAAAACUAUAAAAAUGAUCAGAGAAAUGGGGCUGCAGCUUGAGACAGAUGUGUGUCAAGCACGUGUUUCUUGUCUGGACUAGGAAAUGUUAUCGCAUAUUCAUAUGCUGAUUGAAAUUCCUCUAGAGGAGAAAGAAUCUCUAUGACGAAUAGAGAGGGGAACUAUUGCAGAAGCAAAGUCCUUGAGAAGGCAGGAAGCCUAGAAUUCAGAUCCGAAGUAGAAGAAUUGGCCUUCAACAGGAAGAUGACCAUGGGCAUGGAUUGACAAACAUAGUAGAUGCUUGCAGCCACUCAAUGACAUCACAUAGCUGUCUGAGGCUCUAGAAGGUGCUCUGCUGCUAAAAGGAGCAUUAUAAAGAGUGUUUGAAUACCUCCAUGGGAACAGAAAAGCAAUGUGUGUGGAAGGAUAUUCAACAAUGUGUUGUUGGAAGACCAAGUGCAUUUUGCUGAAAACCUCCAUAACAAGAACAGAGACUUGGAAGAAGAGAUUCAAAGAGGAUAAAUAUAUAUUAAAUAGAUUCAACUGCUUAUUUGGGAAGAUCUUUACUAUACUAGAUACUGUUUUACUUUGUCUUAACAUAUGUAUUACACUGAUUCAACUUCUUAUCAUAAAUGGAAUAUGGUUGUUUUUUCUGUCAAUAAAUAGAUCCAUGCUUCAUAUUAAGGGAA
Molecule: long non-coding RNA, 1071 nt
Filed under: Homo sapiens (human)
Lineage: Eukaryota; Metazoa; Chordata; Mammalia; Primates; Hominidae
Description: HSALNT0297317
Source: RNAcentral